UAAUGAAGCCUGCCUGGCUCCCUGAAUGCCAUCUGAGAAGCUUAUCAAAAGAGUUUGAUGCACCUCCUAGUUGGCAUACAGGGCAGCCAAGCAGACAUAUAUA
This 103-nucleotide microRNA precursor is filed under the name Asparagus officinalis (garden asparagus). RNAcentral's name for it is "miR160a stem-loop (aof-MIR160a)". Its record names the gene aof-MIR160a. The stretch from base 8 to 96 matches the Rfam family "mir-160 microRNA precursor family". Rfam says of the family: The hairpin precursors (represented here) are predicted based on base pairing and cross-species conservation -- their extents are not known. The record is from miRBase by way of RNAcentral. Lineage: Eukaryota; Viridiplantae; Streptophyta; Magnoliopsida; Asparagales; Asparagaceae.